Molecule: ribosomal RNA, 468 nt
Filed under: uncultured bacterium
Lineage: Bacteria
Description: partial 16S ribosomal RNA
Rfam family: Bacterial small subunit ribosomal RNA
Source: RNAcentral
GAUGAACGCUGGCGGCGUGCUUAACACAUGCAAGUCGAACGGAAAGGCCCUGCGUUUGUGGGGUGCUCGAGUGGCGAACGAGUGAGUAACACGUGAGUAACCUGCCCUUGACUUUGGGAUAACUUCAGGAAACUGGGGCUAAUACAGGAUAGGAGCUCCUGCAGCAUGGUGGGGGUUGGAAAGUUUCGGCGGUUGGGGAUGGACUCGCGGCUUAUCAGCUUGUUGGUGGGGUAGUGGCUUACCAAGGCUUUGACUGGUAGCCGGCCUGAGAGGUGGACCGGCCACAUUGGGACUGAGAGACGCCCCAGUCUCCUACGGGAGGCAGCGGGCGAAAGUAUUGCACAAUGGGCGGAAGUCUGAUGCGGCAACGCCGCGUGCGUGAUGACGUGCUUCUGGUUGUAAACCGCUUUCGCCGGUGACGAAGCGUGAGUGACGGUAAUGGGUAAAGAAGCACCGGCUAACUACGUG